GUUCCCUUUUGAGAUUUUGACUAUUAGGAUUUGAAGAGGGGUUGGGAAGUGAGAAGGUUUUGAAGCAGUUUUCUUUUGAGAUUUUAACUAUUAGGGUUUGGACAGGGCUUGGGAAAUGAGAAAGUUUUGAAGUAGUUCUUUUUUGAGAUUUUAACUAUUAGGGUUUGGAGAGGGCUUAGGAAAUGGAAAGGUUUUGAAGUUUGAAAUUAGGGUUUGAAUUAUAAAAAUAUAUGUAUUUUGGUUUAGGUUAUAAAAGUGUAAGUAUUUUUUUGCCAUUUAGAUUCAAAUCUAAUAAUUUGAAUUUUUUAUAUAUUAUACCAAAUUAAAUUUAUUAGGGUUCGGGUUCGGGUUCGGGUUCAGAUUUGAGUUCGGUUCCGGUGCGGGUUUUUUAUAAUAUCGAUACCCGAAUCCGAACCCGUCGGAUUUUUUUUAUAUAUAUAUCCAUACCCGAAUCCAUAUCUAUUUACAUCGGAUAAAAUCCGGUUCGUUUGGAUUUGGAUUCG
This 503-nucleotide long non-coding RNA is filed under the name Ananas comosus (pineapple). RNAcentral describes it as "long non-coding RNA (ACOM_LNC003722)". The record is from RNAcentral. Lineage: Eukaryota; Viridiplantae; Streptophyta; Magnoliopsida; Poales; Bromeliaceae.